AGAGAUGGUACCAUUUGUUCUGUGUUUAUGAAGCAUUGGAGACAUAAGUGUUCAUGCUCCUGAAGUUGAAUGGCGCUCUAGGUAUCUCUUGGACCUGAGCCACCAGAGCAGGAGAGAUGCCCCUAUGAGUCUGAUUGAUUCAGUGUCUGAAGACACUUUGUACCAUGAGGAUCCUCUUCCCUAAGCCAAAGUCUGUCAAAGUCAAUUCCAACAGCUGAUGAGAUCAGGAACAACAUUGAGUGUACCUCCCUCUCCCAUUUGCAUUCAGCAAAGACUCAAUUUGCGAUUCGUUACAAAAGGUUCAUGGAGUCUUGGUGCAAUAGUAAACUGCAAAACUUCCAAGCUCUCAUCAUUAGAUGAAACACUCAGACCUCCAGAUUCACCUCCAUUCUAUUGUUUUACUGUUCUAAAUGAACAGUCUAAUUUACUACAAAUCUGUGAAAGAGUGUGAAGCUGCUUCAUGCCUGGGAACAAAAAAGAUGAAGUAGGGGGUAAUUAACAAAAUGAAAGAAUGCCACAUGGCCCUGCGUUUUACUUUAUUUCACUGCUACCAGCUCUUUGUAAACCUUGAUUAGGCAGACAGCAUGUUUACACAGCCCAGGCAGCAUGUUCCUACAUGAGAAAGCAGGUUUUUUUUUAAUUAAACACACUCCUUUUUCAUAGUCUGCUGCAAUUUACAGUGUUGUUAAUUCUCUUUUAUACUGAACUUAUCUCUUUUUUCAAUCGAGCUUUUCUUCUCAAAUUCAUUAUGUUCUCUGUAGUAUUUACCUUGUGCUGGUUGACAAGAUCAGUGUCAAAUUAAAGUUCCUUAGAUUUCCAUACAAACUCUGGUUUUGGUUAGAUUUCAUAUCAGUACCCUGGCCAUUUUGCUCUUUAGCUACUGCAACAAGGAAUAUUUAAUCAAUUAAGUAGCAUCAAAACAUGACAAAUUACAAACUUCUUAGUAUAGACUACUAC
This is a long non-coding RNA of Phasianus colchicus (ring-necked pheasant), 957 nucleotides long. RefSeq lists it as uncharacterized. NCBI's taxonomy places the organism in Eukaryota, Metazoa, Chordata, Aves, Galliformes, Phasianidae. The record is from RefSeq and is a predicted model, not a curated record.